Molecule: ribosomal RNA, 375 nt
Filed under: uncultured bacterium
Lineage: Bacteria
Description: bacterial SSU rRNA
Rfam family: Bacterial small subunit ribosomal RNA
Source: RNAcentral
AACGAACGCUGGCGGCGCGCUUAACACAUGCAAGUCGAACGCAUGCUUGAUCUUCGGGUUGGGCAUGAGUGGCGGACGGGUGAGUAACGCGUGGGAACCUGCCCUGAGGUUCGGGACAACCGUGGGAAACUGCGGCUAAUACCGGAUAUCUCCUUUGGGAGAAAGACUUGUCGCCUUGGGAGGGGCCCGCGUCGGAUUAGCUUGUUGGUGGGGUAACGGCCUACCAAGGCAUCGAUCCGUAGCUGGUCUGAGAGGAUGAUCAGCCACACUGGGACUGAGACACGGCCCAGACUCCUACGGGAGGCAGCAGUGGGGAAUCUUGGACAAUGGGGGCAACCCUGAUCCAGCGACGCCGCGUGGGUGACGAAGGCCUUC